This 497-nucleotide ribosomal RNA is filed under the name uncultured bacterium. Its description in RNAcentral is "partial 16S ribosomal RNA". It matches the Rfam family "Bacterial small subunit ribosomal RNA", at positions 28 to 507 of the family's 1533-position model. The record is from RNAcentral.
GAUGAACGCUGGCGGCGUGCCUAAUACAUGCAAGUCGAGCGAACAGACGAGGAGCUUGCUCCUCUGACGUUAGCGGCGGACGGGUGAGUAACACGUGGAUAACCUACCUAUAAGACUGGGAUAACUUCGGGAAACCGGAGCUAAUACCGGAUAAUAUAUUGAACCGCAUGGUUCAAUAGUUAAAGACGGUUUUGCUGUCACUUAUAGAUGGAUCCGCGCCGCAUUAGCUAGUUGGUAAGGUAACGGCUUACCAAGGCAACGAUGCGUAGCCGACCUGAGAGGGUGAUCGGCCACCCUGGAACUGAGACACGGUCCAGACUCCUACGGGAGGCAGCAGUAGGGAAUCUUACGCAAUGGGCGAAAGCCUGACGGAGCAACGCCGCGUGAGUGAUGAAGGUCUUCGGAUCGUAAAACUCUGUUAUUAGGGAAGAACAAAUGUGUAAGUAACUAUGCACGUCUUGACGGUACCUAAUCAGAAAACCACGGCUAACUCCGUG